This 253-nucleotide ribosomal RNA is filed under the name uncultured bacterium. RNAcentral's name for it is "partial 16S ribosomal RNA". It matches the Rfam family "Bacterial small subunit ribosomal RNA", at positions 524 to 776 of the family's 1533-position model. The record is from RNAcentral.
UACAGAGGGGGCAAGCGUUAUUCGGAAUUAUUGGGCGUAAAGGGCGCGUAGGCGGCUUAGCAAGUGGAUGGUGAAAUCCCUCGGCUUAACCGAGGAACUGCCGUCCAAACUGCUUCGCUUGAGACCGGGAGAGGUGAGUGGAAUUCCCAGUGUAGCGGUGAAAUGCGUAGAUAUUGGGAGGAACACCAGUGGCGAAGGCGGCUCACUGGACCGGUACUGACGCUGAUGCGCGAAAGCGUGGGGAGCAAACGGG